UACGGAGGAUGCAAGCGUUAAUCGGAAUUACUGGGCGUAAAGCGCACGCAGGCGGUAGAUCAAGUCGGAUGUGAAAUCCCCGGGCUCAACCUGGGAACUGCAUUCGAAACUGGCAGGCUAGAGUAUUGUAGUGGGGGGUAGAAUUCCUGGUGUAGCGGUGAAAUGCGUAGAGAUCUGGAGGAAUACCGGUGGCGAAGGCGGCCCCCUGGACAAAGACUGACCCGCAGGUGCGAAAGCGUGGGGAGCAAACAGG
RNAcentral lists this ribosomal RNA (253 nucleotides) under uncultured bacterium. RNAcentral describes it as "partial 16S ribosomal RNA". It matches the Rfam family "Bacterial small subunit ribosomal RNA", at positions 524 to 776 of the family's 1533-position model. The record is from RNAcentral.